UGUAAACCACGAGGUGGUUCAGGUUUUUCUCUGUCCGUUUAUCGGUCCAGGUCCACCCGACUAAUCCCCGUUCGCUCCGGGAGGUCAUGGGAGCUGGUCCAGGGGAAUUGUGGCUUGUGGGAAUUGAACCUGGGUUAUCCCGGAGUUCUCCCCCACAAAGAGAGCUCAUUUGCCACUUGAGCUACCACCCCGGGUUACCGAUCAGAUAUA
Ipomoea nil (Japanese morning glory) is the source of this 210-nucleotide long non-coding RNA. RefSeq lists it as uncharacterized. The record is from RefSeq and is a predicted model, not a curated record. The transcript is spliced from 3 exons. NCBI's taxonomy places the organism in Eukaryota, Viridiplantae, Streptophyta, Magnoliopsida, Solanales, Convolvulaceae.